Long non-coding RNA from Sardina pilchardus (European sardine), 237 nucleotides. RefSeq lists it as uncharacterized. The record is from RefSeq and is a predicted model, not a curated record. The transcript is spliced from 3 exons. Lineage: Eukaryota; Metazoa; Chordata; Actinopteri; Clupeiformes; Clupeidae.
AGGUUUGUUUCAUGGUCUCCUAUUGUGAAAAAGUGACCUUUGACCCCUCACAAAGAGCGACAACACUACCAUUCAAGCAAGUCAACGUCAUUGUGCAGGCUCAACUGCUGAUGUUAUUGCUCUGGUUCUUGAGGUGGACCCUCCCAGUUCACUGCCAAUACAACAGGAGAUUUCAUGGUGUAAAACCCAUCACAAUGCCGCUUCUUCAUCAUCAUCAUCACAGAGAUCAUCAGAAGG